GAGCUAUGAUGACUUUGAUUGCAU
RNAcentral lists this microRNA (24 nucleotides) under Bos taurus (domestic cattle). RNAcentral describes it as "bta-miR-2484". Lineage: Eukaryota; Metazoa; Chordata; Mammalia; Artiodactyla; Bovidae. The record is from miRBase by way of RNAcentral.